GUAGGUGGCAAGCGUUGUCCGGAAUUAUUGGGCGUAAAGCGCGCGCAGGCGGUUCUUUAAGUCUGAUGUGAAAGCCCACGGCUCAACCGUGGAGGGUCAUUGGAAACUGGAGAACUUGAGUACAGAAGAGGAAAGCGGAAUUCCACGUGUAGCGGUGAAAUGCGUAGAGAUGUGGAGGAACACCAGUGGCGAAGGCGGCUUUCUGGUCUGUAACUGACGCUGAGGCGCGAAAGCGUGGGGAGCAAACAGGAUUAGAUACCCUGGUAGUCCACGCCGUAAACGAUGAGUGCUAAGUGUUAGGGGGGUUUCCGCCCCCCUUAGUGCUGCAGCUAACGCACUAAGCACUCCGCCUGAGGAGUACGGCCGCAAGGCUG
This 374-nucleotide ribosomal RNA is filed under the name uncultured organism. Its description in RNAcentral is "partial 16S ribosomal RNA". It matches the Rfam family "Bacterial small subunit ribosomal RNA", at positions 527 to 896 of the family's 1533-position model. The record is from RNAcentral.